UUCUCCUCCCCUCUGGAUAAUGAGCUACUAAGACGGAGGAGGUGUCGUCCGUUGUGCUGUGAGCUGUCUCACCCUCCUCUUGAAGUAUCUGAUGGAUGCUCUGGUGUGGAGGUCCCUAGGAGAGAUCGAUGCUCUGGUGGCUCGUUCAUCGACGGCGGUGCUCUUCCGGUUUGAGGGCGACUGGGAGACUGACGGCGGUGGCUGGUAAGCUAUCGGGGCGGAGGUUUGUCUGAUUGUCGAGGAGAGCUCAGCGUCGGCAGAUUUACGGUGAGAUGGCCGUUCUCAGCCGUGUGUUUCUCGUCAGUCUGGCUUUUCCUCGCCGUCUUGGGGGUGUGGCGGUGUGUGCUUUCUCGGACCUGAGCGGUUUUGAGCAGAUCGACGUAUCAAGGGUUUCAGAGGUGGUCUCUGCUUCGCAACCACCGUUCAUGGCCGCAGGACAACUUCGUGGGCGGCACAAUAUGGUUGAAACUGGUGACGGAUCUUCCGCCAGUCUUGGACACACCGGUUAGGCAAACUGACAAAAGUCACAUCUUCUUCUUUUUCUUCCCGUUGAGAGAGACGUCUUUCUCAUUUCUCUUUCAACCUGAUCAUACACAGUCACCGUGUUUGUGUUCUCACUUCUCUCACACUUUGUUCUGACUUAUCUUGUAAUCAAGUCUCGACAGUCAAUCAUGCAACAUAUAGAGAUUAAGUUGGCCUUUAUUGGGUCCAAACUUAAACUGAUUAGGCCUAGAUAGGAAGAUAGCUUGUUCAUCUUAUGUGUCAAAAGUAUCUUAAAGCAAAAUUGAAACAAAGCUUUCAAAGAGAACAGAACAAAAUGUCACGCAUUCAUGAGUUUUCAAAGGGAAAGUUGGCAUUUCAUUGACAUGAUGAGGUGAUCACAGUACAAGAAGAUGAUGAAGCAAGUGCUGAAAACAGAAAGCUGAUUCAAGAAAGUAAAAAAAAAAGGGUUUACGAACGACUAAGUUUCCUUUUUCUGCUCAUCACUGUCAUCAUGCUUGAUAUGACCAGGGAGCUUCUCCUUGAUCUUCUCCAUAAACCCUUUCUCUUUACCAUUUUCAUGAUGAGGCUCAACUUCGGGCUUUCCAUUGUGACCUCCAGGAAUCUUCUCCUUAAUCUUGUCCAUAAACCCUUUCUCCUUCCCAUCCUCAUGAUGCUCAUGCUUGUUGGCUUGGUCAUGAUGACCUCCAGGUGCAGGAAGCUUCUCCUUGAUCUUUUCCAUAAACCCUUUCUCUUUCCCAUCCUCCUGAGGUUCAGGCUUGUUGGCUUGGUCAUGAUGACCUCCAGCUGCAGGAAGCUUCUCCUUCAUCUUCUCCAUAAACCCUUUCUUCUCCCCAUCUUCAUGCUCAUGCUUGUUGGCUUGCUCAUGAGUCCCUUUACCUGCAUGAACUUUUAACAUGAUCUUCUCCGUGACGCCCUUCUUCUCCUCAGUUGUAUAUUGAUGAUCAUCAGAAACAUGAUCUUCAUCCUUGUGACCAAACACCUUCUCCUUCAAUCCUUUCCUCUUCUUCUUUUCCCCAUUUUCAUCCACUUCUUCAUCACUCGACUAGAUACAUAUCAUUUCAUCAAACAACAACUUUUAUUAACAUUUCUCAUAGAAUUCUAAAUACAAAUGUGUAUACAUAUACAUAAGCUUACAGAGCUGCCAGAACGGUGAAGCCUUGCCGCAAGCGAAGGUGUCUCCUCUUCCUUUUUUUCCUUGGUCGCGUCAGUCACAUAGACAUGCUCAUCUUCAGGUUUCUUCUUGAGAAAGUCAAACAUUCCACAACCUUUGGAAGCUGCAUCAUCAGCUUCUUGUUGCUCACUUGAACGAGGAUGAUCUGCCAUCUCUUAAAACAAGUAACUAGCUAACACCAAAAAACUACGUAAACACACACUUUUGAUUGCGAAAAAUACUUUGCUUUGUAAGUUGUGAGGAUUGAUGAGUUACACAGCUCAACCACACUCUAUUUAUAGUGUUUUGAGUUUAUCACCACUCCCUCAACUACUUGUUUUAUGUCUAUUUUUAAUUAUAAGUUAAUUUAAUGAUACUUAGCACUAGUUUCCCGUUAAACCAUAAACAUUGAUCGGAACAAGGUUUUGUGUUUUUUCUUGAAAGGUUAUAAAAACAUAUAGUACAUGUCCAAACACAUUGUGUUUCGCCAACCAAUUAAUGGUCGGUGUGGACGGUCCACGUUAACCAAGAAAGUGAGAAAAAUUACCUCUUUUUUAUAACUUUCAAAAUAUUUAAAAGAUUAUUUAAAAAACAAACAAGGAUUUGAAUGAUGCUAAUUGAAGUGCUUAAAUGGGCCUACUAUGAUAAUGGUGGGCGUACAUAAACAGUGAACAAACUAGUAGAACUUUCGUCUUUUUCUUUUUUUUUGUAAAUCCUUAAUUUUCAUUAAAACCUUAAGUUGGGUUCAAGGUCCAUAAAGCCUGUUUUGCAUAAUGCUUAGCCCUAACAUUUAGAGCUCUGAAAAUAAACGUAAAGGAGAUUGUCUUAAAGGAGGAAGAUAGAAGGUAUAUAUCAUUAAGUGCUCCAAAGUUCUCCAACUUUCUAUCCUUCUUCGUUAGCGCUUUGAUAAGGGUUUGAGAGUCUGAGAAGAUUGCAAUGGAUUCUAAUCCGAUAGAUAGGGCGAAGGUUAUGGCCGAUCGCACAGCCAAGGUCACGAAUUGGGCGAACUUUCGUCUAUAGUCACGAAUUGGGGCUGUUUGUUUUACCAUUUAUCAUCUCCAUCUAAAUAAUUCAUUUGUAUGAUCUAUUCAGAUGAUCCUUUCAGAUUUUUAUGUUGUUUGUUUGUCCAUCUACAUAGCUCAUCUAUAUGAAUCAUCUAAAUGGAUCUUAUGUUUGUUUCUUUAUUUUUAUUUCCAUUCAACUGAGUUUAGUAAACAAAUUACCAAAAUAUCUUUGUGUUGAUUUAAUCAUAUGUUUGAUAUUAAUUUUAACUAUAUUUCAUUUAAUUAUUUAGUUUAAUAUAUAUACAAUAGAAUUAUUUCAAAAUUAACGAGUUUUCUUUUUGCGGUUUGGGCGGGAAAAAAAUAUUUUUCGGUUUUAGCGAGAAAACUCAUUUUUCGGUUUUGACGGGAAAUAAUGAUUUUUCAGAUAUGGUGGGAAAACGAGAUUUUUUAGUUUUGGCGGGAAAAUACAAAUUUUAGAUUUUGGAGAGAAAACACAUUUUUACGAUUUUGGCGGGAAAACACGUUUUUUGCGGUUUUCGAGGGAAACACGUUUUUGCGAUUUUUGCAGGAAAACAAAAUUUUUCGGUUUUGACGAGAAAACGAGAUCUUUCGUUAUUGGCGGGAAAACGCGUUUUUGCGGUUUUGGCGAAAAAAUGCGUUUUUGCGGUUUUGACGGGAAAACGCGUUUUUGCGGUUUUGACAGGAAAACAAGAUUUUUGAUUUUGGCGGGAAAACACGCUUUUCGGUUUUGGCUGGAAAGCAAGAUUUUUCAGUUUUGGCAGGAAAACGACAAUUUUUUGGUUUUGGCGAGAAAACAUUUUAUGUGGUUUUAUAUGUUUUAAUUUAUUCUCUCGUGUCACUGUUUUUUUCCAUGUUUGUCUAUCAAAAUUUGUUUACCAAAUACAUUUAAUUAAGUUUCUAUGUUUAUUCUCGUAAUUGAGUAUCCUUAAAAUAUCCAUUUCUUGAAUAAAAAACGCAAUGAAUUAGUUAAGUGUUAACUCACUUUUGAAUACUAUAUGUUAGGAUCCCGCAUGAAAUUUAUAUCUUCACUAAAAUAUAAUUAUAGGAAUUAAUCCAUUGUCAAUUAAUCUAUGAUAAGUCUAAAUUUAAGAGCAUCCUAUUUAAAGUCAGAACUUUUUUUUUUUUUUUUGUAACUUUUAAAGUCAGAACUUAAUUUUAGCAUAUGUAUGUUGGAUUUUAAAUAUUACACUGAGUUAUGUCAAACUUUCUUAGGCGAAACUAUACAUUUUCCCGUGAAAGCUCGCUACAAAUAGGUCAUAUACAAAUGUAAUUCAAUAUAAUUAUUAAAUUUCCGUUCUAAUUAAUUAUAGGAGUAUCACUUAAGAAAAUAAAUUAACUAUAACAAGUAGUAGAUGUACUAACAUGGAAUUUCUAUUUAAUCCUAAAAAUGUGUUCUUCUAACUCUCUUAUCAAUGAUCAUUACACAAUGGAUUUCUUAAUAACAUAUUACUUGUUCUUCUUCCAAAAUAAUUGGAUGUUGUUUUUUUAAUUUUGCCAAGAAAAAAAAAACAUCUGUUGAGAAUUAACAUCUGUUGAGAAUUAACUCAUGUUACCAAUUAUCUAGCUAUUGUUGAAUAAGUAGGGAUAAAAGAAGGACUGAUUUAUUAUAUAUGUAUUUUCUUCUUGGUGUGAGUCAACGAGAGAGAGAGUAGCUUUAUGUUUUGUGUGAAGAGUAUAAGAGAGUAAGAGAAAGAUAUAAUUAUUAUUGCUCAUCUAACUUUUACAAAAGGGAGAGAAGUACUAUUUAUAGAUGGGUAAAGUCGGUUAAUUCUCACCAACUUGGAAGAAGAAGACAAAAUCACCAAGAGGUGAUGGGUGACUGUUUUUACAGAUGAAAGACAUCUGUUUUCCUUUGGAUAAUCAUUCUUUUUAUAAUUAUCUUUUUAACAGCUAUGUCCUUUUUUGUUAUUUUUAAAUGACCUAAAUAGCAGAUCGAUGCUGCAACUUUGCAAAAAUUUAUCGUUGUUCUUCCAUUUAAUAAUGUUUUCGCUAUGAUAUUGUAGCUCUAUUAUAUUUUCAUGAUUGAAUUAUUUUUAUUUAUAUAUUGCAGUGAUAUAAAGAAUUAACACAAGGGAGAAUUUAGCCACGCGUGCCAACAUGAGCUGUAUGUGUGGGUGGUGAUAGACGCGCGUGCCUCAAUAUCUCACGUGUAAAUAAAGACAACAACAUAUUUCUUAGGUGUUUAAAUAUUUUCUCAUAAAAAUUAAACGUUUGGUAUUUAAAUACCACAUGUUUCAUUCUUGGGUUCACCCCCUAAGGUGAACCUCUAGGUUCACCAACCAAUAGGAUUUCAUUAUUUCAAAUUCGAUAUCUUCUAAAAAAGGAAACAAAAUAUUGUCAAGUUAUAUUAUGUUUUUAAAAUAAAAAGGUAAAAAGAAUAAUAGUUACAAAAAAAAAUAUAUAUUUUUUAAAUAUUGUUAACGUCGUCAGCAAAACACUAAACCCUAAAUCCUAAUCCCUAAACCCUAAAUCCGAAACCCUAAACCCCUGGGUAAAUCCUAAACCCUUGGGUAAAUCCUAAACCUUUGGAUGAAUCAUAAACUCUAAAUCAAAAACACUGAACACAAAAAUCCUAAACCCUUGAAUGUUUUAGUGUUUAGUGUUUUUGAUUUAGUGUUUAUGAUUUAUCCAAGAAUUUAGGGUUUAUCCAAGGGUUUAGGUUUCGAAUUUAGGGAUUAGGAUUUAGGGUUUAGUUUUUUUCUGACGACGUUAAAAAUAUUUUUUGUAAUUACUACAAUUUUUUUUUAAUUUUUAUCAUUUUAUUUUAAAAACAUAAUAUAACUUGACAAUAUUUUGUUUCCUUUUAUAAAAGAUAUCAAAUUUAAAAUAACAUAAUCCUAGGGAGUGAACCCAAGAAUAACUCUUGUUUUUUGGGUAUUUGCAGUAGAUAACGUAAACAAGUUUCCAAAUUAGCUAUAUGGAAAAGCACUAUUCAUUAUCUCAUAAUACCAAGUUUAACCCUACUAGUGAUAUAUAGUUAUCCAAAUUAUAUUUUCUGCAAAAAACCAAACUUUAAGUAACCUUUGUUAUAUACAGUCAAUCGUCUUCACUCCAUUUCAAUCAGAAAGCAAAAACCAGAUUGAAGUUUAGAGAAGAUGAUCUCUUCCCAAUCCAUUGACUCACCUGAUUCAACUUAUUGAUGUCCCUUUCUUUAAUUCUUUCUCAAUUCUCAGCCGUCUCUCUCUCUCUUUCUCUCUGUUUUGAUAUUCACUCAGUUUUUUUUUCUUUUUCGAACAAAUAAUAGCCAAAAACAGAGAAUAUGACCUGGGUUGAGACAAAGACAUCACCGGUUUCUCCUUCUAAAACUCCAAGAAUAUCUGAAAAGUUUGGUUCUUUUCUGGUUCAUCACCAUAAUCCGAUCAUCAUUGCAGUUGGGAAAGAUAUUGCCAUGCGAGGUGGUAUCUUGUCAGCACAAAGAAAAUAGUUGGGGUAAUGUAUCCGGAUCUAUGGUUUGGAGGCGCUCGAUCUAUGGUUCCCACCAGUAAUCAUUGCUGUUCUCCUCCCCUCUGGAUAAUGAGCUACUAAGACGGAGGAGGUGUCGUCCGUUGUGCUGUGAGCUGUCUCACCCUCCUCUUGAAGUAUCUGAUGGAUGCUCUGGUGUGGAGGUCCCUAGGAGAGAUCGAUGCUCUGGUGGCUCGUUCAUCGACGGCGGUGCUCUUCCGGUUUGAGGGCGACUGGGAGACUGACGGCUGUGGCUGGUUAGCUAUCGGGGCGGAGGUUUGUCUGAUUGUCGAGGAGAGCUCAGCGUCGGCAGAUUUACGGUGAGAUGGCCGUUCUCAGCCGUGUGUUUCUCGUCAGUCUGGCUUUUCCUCGCCGUCUUGGGGGUGUGGCGGUGUGUGCUU
RNAcentral lists this long non-coding RNA (6521 nucleotides) under Brassica napus (rape). RNAcentral describes it as "long non-coding RNA (BNAP_LNC006615)". The record is from RNAcentral. Lineage: Eukaryota; Viridiplantae; Streptophyta; Magnoliopsida; Brassicales; Brassicaceae.